ACAUUCUUGGACGCAAAAUGGUUAAGUAAUUCAGCUGCAGCAGUUGAUAAGUAAAAUGGUUACCAUUAUUCAUCCUCACAUCUCUUCCAUUUGCAUUUAUCACAGACCAUGCGAUUUGCAGCAGUUGUAUGCAUUUUUGGCUGGCUUACUGUAUAUUUUGCCAAGGAUGCUAUGAUGCUCUAUGCUGGAAGAGUUUUGCUGGGGUAUUGUACUGGAGUUCUUUCCUAUGUGGUGAACAUCUAUAGUUCUCAAUAUAUGUACCUAAAUCUUCAUUCUUAUGUUUCUAAACCUUUUGUUUAAGCAAUGGAAACAUGUCCCACUCUCAAACAUUCUUUAAAAAGUUUCAUUUAUGCACACCACACUCUAUGCACUAACAACUCCUGGGGUUAUAAUAACACAUGUGCCUUUGUAUAUAUCUGAAAUAGCACCAAAGGGUAUCUGAGGAGGCCUUGCAACCUCAAACCAGUUAUUCACCUGUUCAGGGUGUUCAGCUGCUUACAUUAUUGGAGCACUUGUUUCAUGGCGAUGUUUGGUUGUAGUAGAUAAUCACAGAUAUAUUUACAUGUAUCAUGUAUGUUGACAAAAUGAGCAUCAAGAGAAACUAAUGUAGCAUUUCAUGCAGGAUUGAUACCUUGUGUUGUCCUACUUGUUGGGUUUUUCU
Molecule: long non-coding RNA, 661 nt
Organism: Zea mays
Lineage: Eukaryota; Viridiplantae; Streptophyta; Magnoliopsida; Poales; Poaceae
Exons: 3
Source: RefSeq, a predicted model, not a curated record